CACCUCUCACGCAUCUUCAGUCUCCUCCCAAACCCCUCUCACGUGAAGGCAACAAAAACCUCCAUCUCCGCUGAAACCCCUCCACAUAAACUUUCCCUGCGAAAACCUCCCGAUGAAAACCUCCAUCUCCGUCCAAGACCUAGACUCCAUGCAAAAUCUCCAUCCGCGCCGCCCGUGACCAAGCCUCCUCCGCUGAGGUCAUGAACUACCUCACCACGACCAGACGUCACCGAGAUCUUCCCCCACCACGACCAGGUCAUGAACUACCUCGAAUCCUAUGCACGCCACUUCGACCUACUCCGCUGUAUCAAGUUCCACUCUAGUGUGGUGUUGAUAGACCUCGUCGGGGCGUCCAAAGAGGAGAUCACCGCGUAGGACCUCUGGACCGGCGUCGCCAAGGGAGAAUGGCACCUCACCGAGCAGCUAUAAGAGCAAUCCCUCCACCGAGAUCUAUUGGGUGGAUUUCUUGAUCCUGUGCAAUGGAAGGUUCAGCAAUGCCCCAAAUUUCCCAAAUUUUGCACGACGGGGUGCAGCUUAGGUGUUCAAUGGAAUGACUAUGCACUCAAUGGAGUACUCCGACAUGGACGACAUCGGUCUUGCCACUCUCAUGCGAGGAAAGCAAGUCACCGUCGUCGGCUCAGGGAAGACAACAUUUGAUAGAAUCAUGUACAUGAGAGAUCGUUGCACCAAAUUUGAAGUACUUUAUUUACCUUUACUUCAUUUUUCCCUUUACAAAGUUAAAUAGGCAUAUUUGCUUCCAUUCUGCCUUCUGUAUAUCCUUGCAUGAUAUUCUGUCUAAGUUUGUUGACGCUCAACAAUUGUUGAUAUUGCUAACUGUUAUAAAUUAGUUUAGAAGGAAUGGAGACCAAGGUAUUGAAUUUGAACCUUGCUCAAAGCUUGAAGAUUUAAAUUUAGAUGCUAGAUAUGUUCAAGUAAAUACUCAUGGAUGUUGUAAAUUAUUUGUUAGCAAGUACAAGGGGCUUUGAGGACAGAGGAAUAGUUAAACUAUUUUGUUUUGGAUUUCCAAUUGUCCUCUUCUUCAGUCUCCACAUUGACUUUCAUAUAUACUAGUUCAUCUUUUUACCAGUGCUAAAAGAUUGGGCACCGGUAAGAGACGUCACCUUUUAGCUUUUGUCUAACAGUUAUCUUUAUGUUGCUAAAAAUUCAAAAGUUUUAGUUUCUCUUCAUGCGAGCAGGAGUUUCCAACUCUUUGUUUUUACAUAUCUAGAAAUGAAUUGUUGGAUAGUUCAUUUGUGUGUGUGUUGUUGAUGAUAUAUUACUCUUUCCUGAUAUGAUCAUUUCAUAAUUUAGAAAUUAAUUUGGUAGUUUAACUAAUUUGUUGCAGAUAAUUUCUUAUUUAUCAAUUUGUUGCAGAUUUCAUCAGUAAUACAUGCAGUUAGUGUCUAUAUAUAUACACAAGUAUACUUUUAUUAGAACUUUUCUUAUAUUUGAGUGUUGCUGGUAUUGGUGAUAUAUCCUUUUGUUACCUUUACAAAAAAAGGAUUCAAAUGAGUAUUGGUUAGAGAAUAGCAAUUGAUGGAGAGAAAUGCAAAAUCAAACUCUUGGUAAGUUGAGAUCUUAGUACUUCAUUAUGUAUUUUUUUAUAAGGAUUGUGCCUUGGUUACUAUGUAUAUACAUUACAGUACGAAGACAGUGAAGGUGAUAAAGUUCUUCUAGACAGUGAAGGAAUUUCAUAAUUCUGUAACAUGUAUAUUAAAUAUUCUUUGGAUAACGGAGUAGAGUAAGAAUAUGUACUUCUUUAAAUGAAAGAAGGAAUGACUAGCUAUAAAACAACAAUUUAAUGAAAAUUGAUAUUCUAAGAGCAUUUUUGUAGUGGAAUUUGAGUUUUUUUAAAUGCUUAAGAAUCUAGGCUUCCUGUUAUUAGAUUUUGUGCUAAAUUAAUGAGUUUAACCCAUCGUUGAUACUCAUUUAAACCUCACAAUUUAAUUCUAUUGGUUUAUGGGACACUUGUUUCUCUGCCAUAUUACUUGGGUUUUGAGGUUGCAUAUUGAUCAUUCACACUUACUUGUUUAGCACUUGUGCUAGGUGAAGGUUUGUAUGAAGGACUUGAUUAUCUCUCUAGCAACAUCACUAAAAAGAUGAAUGUGAAAAGAAAUUAAAAGUGGAGUUUUUAUUUUACCAAGAAGGACACUCAUAUAUUUGUGAGAAGAAAAGUUCUAAUCCAAGAAGCAAGAUAUAUUGGAACUAAUAUGCAUGUCUAAUAUGUAGGGUUUUUGCUUUUAUUAGACUUAACAUGGAUCCAAAUUUUGUGGAUUAUGCCUACAUAUUUUUUGUUUAAAUUAUAUGACACAUUUGUUGUUCAAUAAUAAGAAAUUUGAUUAGUUGUACUUUCAUGGUAU
Zingiber officinale is the source of this 2360-nucleotide long non-coding RNA. RefSeq lists it as uncharacterized. The record is from RefSeq and is a predicted model, not a curated record. NCBI's taxonomy places the organism in Eukaryota, Viridiplantae, Streptophyta, Magnoliopsida, Zingiberales, Zingiberaceae. The transcript is spliced from 3 exons.